GAUGAACGCUAGCGGCAGGCUUAACACAUGCAAGUCGAGGGGCAGCGGGAGGAAAGCUUGCUUUCCUUGCCGGCGACCGGCGCACGGGUGAGUAACACGUAUGCAACCUGCCCUUCCCAGGGGGACAACCUUCCGAAAGGGAGGCUAAUCCCGCGUAUAUCCUCCGGAGGCAUCUCCGGAGGAGGAAAGAUUCAUCGGGGAAGGAUGGGCAUGCGGCGCAUUAGCUGGACGGCGGGGUAACGGCCCACCGUGGCGACGAUGCGUAGGGGUUCUGAGAGGAAGGUCCCCCACACUGGUACUGAGACACGGACCAGACUCCUACGGGAGGCAGCAGUGAGGAAUAUUGGUCAAUGGAAGAGAUUCUGAACCAGCCAAGCCGCGUGAGGGAAGACGGCCCUACGGGUUGUAAACCUCUUUUGUCGGGGAACAAAGAGCGGGACGUGUCCCGCGU
This 451-nucleotide ribosomal RNA is filed under the name uncultured bacterium. Its description in RNAcentral is "bacterial SSU rRNA". It matches the Rfam family "Bacterial small subunit ribosomal RNA", at positions 28 to 469 of the family's 1533-position model. The record is from RNAcentral.